AUUCGACAAUGGGAAAUUCACUGAAAGAGUUGCUACGUCAAGAAAUGAACUUGGAUGAUUUGAACAAAAAAGUGUGUCAGGCAGAGGUGAAAGCUGCUAAGUUAAAGAAACAGGUUAGAAAACCGAUUAAUUAACGUCUUAUGUGGACUCGGUCAUUGUAGUGAUAAUAAUUAAACAAACAUGCAGGUGAAGGAUGAAAAAGCCGGAAAGGGGGGUCUUUUCAAUGGGGCAUUGCCCCUACACAAGUAAUCGGUAUAAAAUAUUGUAUAUUAAAGAGAGUGCACAAUUGAAGUAUCUGCUUAAUUUUUGAUGCUGAGUUUCUG
This is a non-coding RNA of Paramuricea clavata, 323 nucleotides long. The record is from the annotation of a GenBank genome assembly. NCBI's taxonomy places the organism in Eukaryota, Metazoa, Cnidaria, Anthozoa, Malacalcyonacea, Plexauridae.